UAACGAGCGAGACUCUGGCCUACUAAAUAGUUGGCACAUUGCCACUGUGUGCCCAACUUCUUAGAGGGAUUUUCGGUGUUCAGCCGCACGAAAUUGAGCAAUAACAGGUCUGUGAUGCCCUUAGAUGUCCGGGGCUGCACGCGCGCUACACUGGCAAAAUCAGCGUGCUUGUCCUCCCCCGAAAGGGGUUGGUAAACCGAUGAAAAUUUGCCGUGAUUGGGAUCGGACAUUGCAAUUAUUGUCCGUGAACGAGGAAUCCCUUGUAAGGGCGAGUCAUCAACUCGUCCUGAAUACGUCCCUGCCCUUUGUACACACCGCCCGUCGCUGCCCGGGACUGAGCCAUUUCGAGAAAACCGGGGAUGGUUGGCCUGACGGCUCUCGGGUCGUCUAGCCGAUGAGAACCGGCUUAAUCGCACUGGUUUGAACCGGGCAAAAGUCGUAACAAGGUAGCUGUAGGUGAACCUGCUGCUGGAUCAUUA
Molecule: ribosomal RNA, 479 nt
Filed under: Rotylenchulus reniformis
Lineage: Eukaryota; Metazoa; Nematoda; Chromadorea; Rhabditida; Hoplolaimidae
Description: SSU rRNA
Rfam family: Eukaryotic small subunit ribosomal RNA
Source: RNAcentral